UACGUAGGGGCCAAGCGUUGUCCGGAUUUAUUGGGCGUAAAGAGCUCGUAGGCGGUGUGUCGCGUCGGCCGUGAAAACCUGCAGCUUAACUGUGGGCGUGCGGUCGAUACGGGCAUCACUGGAGUUCGGCAGGGGAGACUGGAAUUCCUGGUGUAGCGGUGAAAUGCGCAGAUAUCAGGAGGAACACCGGUGGCGAAGGCGGGUCUCUGGGCCGAUACUGACGCUGAUGCACGAAAGCCAGGGGAGCGAACGGG
Molecule: ribosomal RNA, 254 nt
Filed under: uncultured bacterium
Lineage: Bacteria
Description: partial 16S ribosomal RNA
Rfam family: Bacterial small subunit ribosomal RNA
Source: RNAcentral